UAAAGGAAUGGUGGACAAAGGUUCAGG
Molecule: non-coding RNA, 27 nt
Filed under: Callithrix jacchus (white-tufted-ear marmoset)
Lineage: Eukaryota; Metazoa; Chordata; Mammalia; Primates; Cebidae
Also listed under: 1 other name
Source: RNAcentral